RNAcentral lists this ribosomal RNA (1831 nucleotides) under Escherichia coli HVH 145 (4-5672112). RNAcentral describes it as "bacterial LSU rRNA". It matches the Rfam family "Bacterial large subunit ribosomal RNA", at positions 1117 to 2925 of the family's 2925-position model. The record is from RNAcentral. Lineage: Bacteria; Pseudomonadati; Pseudomonadota; Gammaproteobacteria; Enterobacterales; Enterobacteriaceae.
CAUCAUUUAAAGAAAGCGUAAUAGCUCACUGGUCGAGUCGGCCUGCGCGGAAGAUGUAACGGGGCUAAACCAUGCACCGAAGCUGCGGCAGCGACGCUUAUGCGUUGUUGGGUAGGGGAGCGUUCUGUAAGCCUGCGAAGGUGUACUGUGAGGUAUGCUGGAGGUAUCAGAAGUGCGAAUGCUGACAUAAGUAACGAUAAAGCGGGUGAAAAGCCCGCUCGCCGGAAGACCAAGGGUUCCUGUCCAACGUUAAUCGGGGCAGGGUGAGUCGACCCCUAAGGCGAGGCCGAAAGGCGUAGUCGAUGGGAAACAGGUUAAUAUUCCUGUACUUGGUGUUACUGCGAAGGGGGGACGGAGAAGGCUAUGUUGGCCGGGCGACGGUUGUCCCGGUUUAAGCGUGUAGGCUGGUUUUCCAGGCAAAUCCGGAAAAUCAAGGCUGAGGCGUGAUGACGAGGCACUACGGUGCUGAAGCAACAAAUGCCCUGCUUCCAGGAAAAGCCUCUAAGCAUCAGGUAACAUCAAAUCGUACCCCAAACCGACACAGGUGGUCAGGUAGAGAAUACCAAGGCGCUUGAGAGAACUCGGGUGAAGGAACUAGGCAAAAUGGUGCCGUAACUUCGGGAGAAGGCACGCUGAUAUGUAGGUGAAGUCCCUUGCGGAUGGAGCUGAAAUCAGUCGAAGAUACCAGCUGGCUGCAACUGUUUAUUAAAAACACAGCACUGUGCAAACACGAAAGUGGACGUAUACGGUGUGACGCCUGCCCGGUGCCGGAAGGUUAAUUGAUGGGGUUAGCGGUAACGCGAAGCUCUUGAUCGAAGCCCCGGUAAACGGCGGCCGUAACUAUAACGGUCCUAAGGUAGCGAAAUUCCUUGUCGGGUAAGUUCCGACCUGCACGAAUGGCGUAAUGAUGGCCAGGCUGUCUCCACCCGAGACUCAGUGAAAUUGAACUCGCUGUGAAGAUGCAGUAUACCCGCGGCAAGACGGAAAGACCCCGUGAACCUUUACUAUAGCUUGACACUGAACAUUGAGCCUUGAUGUGUAGGAUAGGUGGGAGGCUUUGAAGUGUGGACGCCAGUCUGCAUGGAGCCGACCUUGAAAUACCACCCUUUAAUGUUUGAUGUUCUAACGUUGGCCCCUAAUCGGGGUUGCGGACAGUGUCUGGUGGGUAGUUUGACUGGGGCGGUCUCCUCCUAAAGAGUAACGGAGGAGCACGAAGGUUGGCUAAUCCUGGUCGGACAUCAGGAGGUUAGUGCAAUGGCAUAAGCCAGCUUGACUGCGAGCGUGACGGCGCGAGCAGGUGCGAAAGCAGGUCAUAGUGAUCCGGUGGUUCUGAAUGGAAGGGCCAUCGCUCAACGGAUAAAAGGUACUCCGGGGAUAACAGGCUGAUACCGCCCAAGAGUUCAUAUCGACGGCGGUGUUUGGCACCUCGAUGUCGGCUCAUCACAUCCUGGGGCUGAAGUAGGUCCCAAGGGUAUGGCUGUUCGCCAUUUAAAGUGGUACGCGAGCUGGGUUUAGAACGUCGUGAGACAGUUCGGUCCCUAUCUGCCGUGGGCGCUGGAGAACUGAGGGGGGCUGCUCCUAGUACGAGAGGACCGGAGUGGACGCAUCACUGGUGUUCGGGUUGUCAUGCCAAUGGCACUGCCCGGUAGCUAAAUGCGGAAGAGAUAAGUGCUGAAAGCAUCUAAGCACGAAACUUGCCCCGAGAUGAGUUCUCCCUGACUCCCUGAGAGUCCUGAAGGAACGUUGAAGACGACGACGUUGAUAGGCCGGGUGUGUAAGCGCAGCGAUGCGUUGAGCUAACCGGUACUAAUGAACCGUGAGGCUUAACCUU